RNAcentral lists this ribosomal RNA (497 nucleotides) under uncultured bacterium. RNAcentral's name for it is "partial 16S ribosomal RNA". It matches the Rfam family "Bacterial small subunit ribosomal RNA", at positions 28 to 507 of the family's 1533-position model. The record is from RNAcentral.
GAUGAACGCUGGCGGCGUGCCUAAUACAUGCAAGUCGAGCGAACGGACGAGAAGCUUGCUUUUCUGAUGUUAGCGGCGGACGGGUGAGUAACACGUGGAUAACCUACCUAUAAGACUGGGAUAACUUCGGGAAGCCGGAGCUAAUACCGGAUAAUAUUUUGAACCGCAUGGUUCAAAAGUGAAAGACGGUCUUGCUGUCACUUAUAGAUGGAUCCGCGCUGCAUUAGCUAGUUGGUAAGGUAACGGCUUACCAAGGCAACGAUGCAUAGCCGACCUGAGAGGGUGAUCGGCCACACUGGAACUGAGACACGGUCCAGACUCCUACGGGAGGCAGCAGUAGGGAAUCUUCCGCAAUGGGCGAAAGCCUGACGGAGCAACGCCGCGUGAGUGAUGAAGGUCUUCGGAUCGUAAAACUCUGUUAUUAGGGAAGAACAUAUGUGUAAGUAACUGUGCACAUCUUGACGCUACCUAAUCAGAAAGCCACGGCUAACUACGUG